GUGUUCUUGAAGAAGGCGACUUGCUCAUGGAGGAUUCGACCCGGUUCCUGGUGGGCGACUCUGAGAUGUCUAGUGACUCAAUCCCCUGGGUCUAGGGGAGGAAGAUGCUUGUGCUUCUGGAAAUUGGCGAUUUUUUUCUUCCAAAUCAGGGAAGGCCUAGAAAUCAUACAACUCCAAGUAGGACUAACUCAAAGUGGUGGGUCAGAAAAAAAUGCUUCCAAGGAGUGUGAAAGCAUGCUGGUGGCCAUGUUCAGAACGGCCAAGAAAGAAAAGAUCAGACGGUCUCAAGAGGUGAGUAAUAUAGAAGAACACUUCUCUGGGUUAAGACUUGGGCUUUUGUUCUUCAAGAAUCAAGCCUGACUACUUUGCCUGUUAGAAACCUCCUGACCAUAAUUCUAAUACAUAGUGUCAGGGGAACAAAAACUUCCCCCUUAAUAUUUCUUUAUUCUUAGGUGGGGGCGGAUUAUGAAGUUCCACUUGAAGGUGAAGGAAUAGGACCCCCCCACACACACAUUCCUUCUAAAUGUUAAACAUGAAGUUACCGUCUGGCCCAGUAAUUCCAUUGCUAGGUGUCUACCCAAGCAGAAUUGAACCAUACAACCAGAUAAAAAAUAUGUGAAUAUUCAUAGCAGCAUGAUGUAUAAUAUAGCUAAAAAGUGGAAACAACCCAAAUGUCCAUAAACUGGCACAUGGAUAAGAUACUGUACAUCCAGACAGUGGGACAUGAUUCAGCAGUAGAGAGGACUUCCAGCUACAGCUUGAAACCGUGUUGGUGAACCAAGUCAUUCAGAAGAGACCACAUCUCCUAUGACUCCAUUUUUAUGAAAUGUGUAGAGCAGUCAGAUUUAUGGACGGGAAGUAGAUUAAUGGUUGC
This 874-nucleotide long non-coding RNA is filed under the name Canis lupus familiaris (dog). Its description in RNAcentral is "lncRNA (ENSCAFG00000058286.1)". The record is from RNAcentral. Lineage: Eukaryota; Metazoa; Chordata; Mammalia; Carnivora; Canidae.